Molecule: ribosomal RNA, 50 nt
Filed under: Beauveria bassiana
Lineage: Eukaryota; Fungi; Ascomycota; Sordariomycetes; Hypocreales; Cordycipitaceae
Description: partial 18S ribosomal RNA
Source: RNAcentral
UUAGAGGAAGUAAAAGUCGUAACAAGGUCUCCGUUGGUGAACCAGCGGAG